UAGGCGAACUCCCUCCUUCUCCUCCUCCUCGUCCCCGGCACCACCACCUCCGAGUUAAAUCCGGUCUUAGCUCCUCCUCCUCGGGCUCUCUCGAUCUCUCUCCACUCUCCAAGUUUGAUCGCUCGAGGUGCCGCCACCUCCGAGUCAAAUCCGAUCCUGGCUCCUCCUCCUCGGGCUAUCUCAAUCUCUUCACUCUCCGAGUCAGAUCCGCACUGCCUCCGACCUCCUCUCAGGCUCUCUCGAUCUCUCUCCACUCUCC
This 259-nucleotide long non-coding RNA is filed under the name Elaeis guineensis (African oil palm). Its description in RNAcentral is "long non-coding RNA (EGUI_LNC021825)". The record is from RNAcentral. Lineage: Eukaryota; Viridiplantae; Streptophyta; Magnoliopsida; Arecales; Arecaceae.